CCUAACACAUGCAAGUCGAACGGUAACAGGAAACAGCUUGCUGUUUCGCUGACGAGUGGCGGACGGGUGAGUAAUGUCUGGGAAACUGCCUGAUGGAGGGGGAUAACUACUGGAAACGGUAGCUAAUACCGCAUAACGUCGCAAGACCAAAGAGGGGGACCCUCGGGCCUCUUGCCAUCGGAUGUGCCCAGAUGGGAUUAGCUUGUUGGUGGGGUAACGGCUCACCAAGGCGACGAUCCCUAGCUGGUCUGAGAGGAUGACCAGCCACACUGGAACUGAGACACGGUCCAGACUCCUACGGGAGGCAGCAGUGGGGAAUAUUGCACAAUGGGCGCAAGCCUGAUGCAGCCAUGCCGCGUGUAUGAGGAAGGCCUUCGGGU
Molecule: ribosomal RNA, 380 nt
Filed under: uncultured bacterium
Lineage: Bacteria
Description: bacterial SSU rRNA
Rfam family: Bacterial small subunit ribosomal RNA
Source: RNAcentral